This 472-nucleotide ribosomal RNA is filed under the name uncultured bacterium. RNAcentral's name for it is "bacterial SSU rRNA". It matches the Rfam family "Bacterial small subunit ribosomal RNA", at positions 28 to 524 of the family's 1533-position model. The record is from RNAcentral.
GACGAACGCUGGCGGCGUGCCUAACACAUGCAAGUCGAGGGGUGAUUUCGGUCAUCACUGGCGCACGGGUGAGUAGCGCGUAGAUCAUCUGCCCCUAUCACUGACAUAACAGUUCUAACGGACUGCUAAUAUCAGAUGAGGUGAGCAAUCAUCAAAGUUUCGACGGAUAGGGAUGAGUCUGCGUCUGAUUAGGUAGUUGGUGAGGUAACGGCUCACCAAGCCGACGAUCAGUAACUGGUCUGAGAGGACGAACAGUCACACUGGAACUGAGACACGGUCCAGACUCCUACGGGAGGCAGCAGUGAGGAAUAUUGCACAAUGGGAGGAAUCCUGAUGCAGCGACGCCGCGUGCGGGAUGAAGGGGCUUAGCCUCGUAAACCGCUGUCGGAGGGGACGAAUGGUACAUUUGAUGUACUGAGACGGUACCCUCAAAGGAAGGAUCGGCUAACUACGUGCCAGCAGCCGCGGUAAU